Molecule: long non-coding RNA, 211 nt
Filed under: Lathyrus oleraceus (garden pea)
Lineage: Eukaryota; Viridiplantae; Streptophyta; Magnoliopsida; Fabales; Fabaceae
Description: Pisum sativum (pea) long non-coding RNA (PSAT_LNC001381)
Source: RNAcentral
GACAUUUCCUUAAAAAUUAAUUGAAUAUUUCCCAAACAUCACAAAGACUCAUCUCCUUAUUUCCUAAAUGAAUUUAUUUCAUUUCUCAACUUUGCAUUCUUAAUAGGAGGAAAAUACUUACCUAAAAACGUUUCAGACAAGUCAUUCCAUGUGGUGAUAGAAUUAAUCUCUAAGGAAUUGAGCUAAAUUUUUUCUCUAUCCCUAAAAGAAU